GGCUGUUUGGUCUAGUGGUCUUGUUCUUGCUUAGGGAGAAGAAGUCCUGGGUUCGAUUCCCAGAGCAGCCC
Gregarina niphandrodes is the source of this 71-nucleotide non-coding RNA. The record is from Rfam. Lineage: Eukaryota; Apicomplexa; Conoidasida; Eugregarinorida; Gregarinidae.